GUGUUUGUGGCCGAUGGGCUCAUGUCCUGUUCCCUCAUCUGUGUUAUUUCAAAGCUCUUUCACUUCUUUUGCUGCGGAUCUGCAGGAGGUACAGAUAGUAUUGCGUGUGACUCUCACCACUAGGAACGUGCAAACCUGUUAAAACUGUAUUUGAUGACUGCUUGCACCUAAUUUUACCAAGCUGCAGCAUGCCCAGAGCAAACUCUUAAAGGCAAAUAGAAUCAUAAUUUCAUGCAAUAGGUGUAAGAGAACAACCCUUGACUUUGUCGAGUACACACACAGUCAAAAGUUAAGUUGUCUUUCAAGAAAACUCAAAUUAGAAGUUACAUUCUAGUACUGAUACCACUGUCUGUGAAGCGUAAAAUGGGUUAAAAUUAAGAACACCUAUUGCACAAGGAGAUGAACAUGUAAAAUAUAGACCAACCGAUGCACAGGCAAAUACAGACUCACAAAUUUAGAGUCGCACCAUUACCUCAAAACUUUGGUUCCACACGCUUUUUUUCCCCCCAAGUUGUUAUGUACUCUAAAAUUUCGGGACACUUAAUUGUAAUUGUAGGCAUGCACCAUUGCUGCGGCUGCUGCUGUAGCUCCCGCCCACAAUGCAUCAGGGGUUACACUCAUAUUUGAAUUUUAUAAACCCCAGCCCUUUGUACACACAAUCCCACUGCGUAAGCUGUUUAGACUCUGCCCUGGAGACUGACAGGUCCCCUACUCAAACAGAGGAGGCGCUGUUGUGCGUGGGUUUUUUUACCCUGCUGACUGAAGCUGUCCCUCCCCGGGCAGUCCCAUGGCCAAUUAUUCGGUGCUCAGCGUGUGCUCCUGCCCGUCGCCCGCACUGGCACGGUGCGGGUUUGAUUAGGCACCGCGGGGUUCUUCACUACAAAGGGCCCGUGCUUUAGCCGAACGAGUCAUGCGGGGAUCCGCCCGCUUUCGCGCCGGUGUGAACGCCACCGCUCUGUCUCCCUCUUUUCGACAGCUGCAUUGCUGCGGCAUUGGAGGAGUUUUGGAGCCCUUUGCACGAGAUACGUGUCCCAGUACCAAAGGCUUCCUUGACGCCCUGUCCAUACCCGCAUGUCCAAAGGUGAUCCAAAAGUUGUUCAAGACCAGAGCUCCAGUGGUUUUAGGGCUGCUUAUUGGAACAGGAGUUCUGAUGUUUGUUACCAUGGCGUGCUCCAGAGUUCUGAUGAAACACAUUAGAAAGUACGAAUCAGCUCCCAAACACUACAACUAACCACCGGUCCGUCAUGCUCCGGGCAAGAACACCAUCUUCAGGAUCUUCUUACGCCUCAUUCAGCAAGUUGCCCUCAGGUUUAACAGACACUUCCAUGCCAUGUUCUCCUUUAGAUUUUACCAACAAAGUCUAGAUGCCUUAAUUGUAAGCUUUUUUUUAACUGUUACGCUAUUUUACAUUAGUGAGUAAAUUAUAACCUGUGGACCAAGAAUACCAUAAUGUCGCUGCACAUGCACAAGCAUACUUUCCCUUGAAUUCUCAACGCCUUCUCAAUAUCCCACAGGAUAUUGAAAUUGCAGUUUUAGUCUUAAAUCUCAGUCAGGGUUAAUAAGAAGUUUUAAGACAGUGACACAUUUAUUAACUGUUGCCAGACCACAGUACAUUAAACUUUUUAAAUGGCUGGUGUACUUGCGGUUUGGAAUCAAUGCGUGGAUGUGACAGAGUCUGUCCUAUUUGAAUCAUCUACCUGAGGUGCGUUCAAAUUCAGCGAACAAGGCGAACGUUUGCAGACUAUUUAUAACUUUUUUCCGUUAGCUUUGUGUUCGCUGCGAACAUUUGCAAACAUAAGCAAACGGUCUGAAAAGGUAGUUUGCGGCGAACCAAAAUGGACGCUGGACUGAGGGAAAUGUUUCCAGAUGGGUAUUUCAAUUGAAGAUGCCGUUAAGUGUGAUCAGUUUUUUUAAUAAUGUUAUUGUUCGCUAGCUAGCUGUUGUUUUUUUAUAUCAUCGAUGAUCACAGAAGCGGCUGUGAGUACAAACGCUCUCAUCUAUGUUUAAUGCAAACAAUUUGGAACGUUCUUAAAAAGCCGUUCAAAUUGAACUGUUCAAAGAAAACAUGUUCGCCACGAACAUUCGCCUCUGUUCGCUGAAUUUGAACGCACCUCUGGUCUGCCACCCAAAACCCAGUGAAAUACAAACCAAAGUGGCGUGGUCCAUUCAGUUGGUCUACUCAUGAUACACCUCACCAAGAGUUAGCCAGCACGGCACUCAGGAAACUUAUGGUGAGAGAACCCCCCCCCCCCCAAGUUUGAAUUGCUUGUUUCUUGGUGGGGGGGGCGUGGUGUGUGAUCUUGCAGCAGCUUCUUUCUUCUGUAUUUUAAAUAGGAUGUGAAGCAGUAGAUGUAAACAUUUUCUUUAUAUGAUAACGACCUCUUUUUUUUUGUAAACUUUUUUGUAUUGCUAUGUUUUAUUUCUGUUUGGGUACCAAUGACUCAGGUUUGGACUUUUUAAAAUGUGUGUAUUUAGGGUAAGUAAAGCAUAAAACUUG
Long non-coding RNA from Anguilla rostrata (American eel), 2497 nucleotides. RefSeq lists it as uncharacterized. NCBI's taxonomy places the organism in Eukaryota, Metazoa, Chordata, Actinopteri, Anguilliformes, Anguillidae. The record is from RefSeq and is a predicted model, not a curated record. The transcript has 3 exons.